Molecule: ribosomal RNA, 253 nt
Filed under: uncultured bacterium
Lineage: Bacteria
Description: partial 16S ribosomal RNA
Rfam family: Bacterial small subunit ribosomal RNA
Source: RNAcentral
UACGAGUGCCCCAAGCGUUAUCCGGAUUUAUUGGGCGUAAAGCGUGUCCAGGUGGUUUGGUGUGUCACAUGUCAAAUCUCAAGGCUUAACUUUGAGACUGCGUGUGAAACUACGAAACUAGAGAACGGGAGAGGCAAGCGGAAUGGCCGGUGUAGCAGUAAAAUGCGUUAAUAUCGGCUGGAACACCAAAGGCGAAGGCAGCUUGCUAGAACGUUUCUGACACUCACACACGAAAGCGUGGGUAGCGAAUGGG